This 950-nucleotide ribosomal RNA is filed under the name Salmonella enterica subsp. enterica serovar Typhimurium. RNAcentral's name for it is "partial 23S ribosomal RNA". It matches the Rfam family "Bacterial large subunit ribosomal RNA", at positions 464 to 1229 of the family's 2925-position model. The record is from RNAcentral. Lineage: Bacteria; Pseudomonadati; Pseudomonadota; Gammaproteobacteria; Enterobacterales; Enterobacteriaceae.
GGCUAAAUACUCCUGACUGACCGAUAGUGAACCAGUACCGUGAGGGAAAGGCGAAAAGAACCCCGGCGAGGGGAGUGAAAAAGAACCUGAAACCGUGUACGUACAAGCAGUGGGAGCCCCACCACUAAGCCAGUGGUGAACUCCACAUCCGCAUCCUUUGCUGAGGAUACGGUUAACGGAGCGAAAGCGACGUUCAACCGCAAAACAAGCAGAGGGGGCUUAGUGGUGGGGUGACUGCGUACCUUUUGUAUAAUGGGUCAGCGACUUAUAUUCUGUAGCAAGGUUAACCGAAUAGGGGAGCCGGAGGGAAACCGAGUCUUAAUUGGGCGUUAAGUUGCAGGGUAUAGACCCGAAACCCGGUGAUCUAGCCAUGGGCAGGUUGAAGGUUGGGUAACACUAACUGGAGGACCGAACCGACUAAUGUUGAAAAAUUAGCGGAUGACCUGUGGCUGGGGGUGAAAGGCCAAUCAAACCGGGAGAUAGCUGGUUCUCCCCGAAAGCUAUUUAGGUAGCGCCUCGUGAAUUCAUCUCCGGGGGUAGAGCACUGUUUCGGCUAGGGGGCCAUCCCGGCUUACCAACCCGAUGCAAACUGCGAAUACCGGAGAAUGUUAUCACGGGAGACACACGGCGGGUGCUAACGUCCGUCGUGAAGAGGGAAACAACCCAGACCGCCAGCUAAGGUCCCAAAGUCAUGGUUAAGUGGGAAACGAUGUGGGAAGGCCCAGACAGCCAGGAUGUUGGCUUAGAAGCAGCCAUCAUUUAAAGAAAGCGUAAUAGCUCACUGGUCGAGUCGGCCUGCGCGGAAGAUGUAACGGGGCUAAACCAUGCACCGAAGCUGCGGCAGCGAACGUAUCACCCAAGACAACUUUACGGAGUUGACGAUUGACGGAGCGAAGCGACGUCAAAGCGUUCAUUAAAGUCGAGUUGGCUUAGGGAUACGUUCGUUGGGU